AGUGAAUAGAUACCCAGGUAGUCCCAGCUGUAAACGAUGCGCGUUAGGUGUAUCGGUGACCACGAGUCAUCGAGGUGCCGAAGGGAAACCGUGAAACGUGCCGCCUGGGAAGUACGGUCGCAAGGCUGAAACUUAAAGGAAUUGGCGGGGGAGGCACCACAACGGGUAGGGAGCCUCGCGGUUUAAGUUUAGGACGUCAACGACCGGGCGAGCUCACCGGACGUAAGACAGCUGGAGUGAUAGCCGGGCGUGAAGACUCUGCUUGACUAGCUGAGAGGAGGUGCAUGGCCGUCGUCAGUUCGUACUGUGAAGCAUCCUGUUAAGUCAGGCAACGAGCGAGACCCACGCAACAGUUGCCAGCAUGUCCUCCGGGAGUGAUGGGGGUACGACUGUU
RNAcentral lists this ribosomal RNA (394 nucleotides) under uncultured bacterium. RNAcentral's name for it is "bacterial SSU rRNA". It matches the Rfam family "Archaeal small subunit ribosomal RNA", at positions 723 to 1101 of the family's 1478-position model. The record is from RNAcentral.